Molecule: ribosomal RNA, 253 nt
Filed under: uncultured bacterium
Lineage: Bacteria
Description: partial 16S ribosomal RNA
Rfam family: Bacterial small subunit ribosomal RNA
Source: RNAcentral
UACAGAGGGGGCAAGCGUUGUUCGGAAUUACUGGGCGUAAAGGGCGCGUAGGCGGCCUUCUAAGUCGAACGUGAAAUCCGCGGGCUCAACCCGGGAACUGCGUCCGAUACUGGAAGGCUUGAAUUCGGGAGAGGGAUGCGGAAUUCCAGGUGUAGCGGUGAAAUGCGUAGAUAUCUGGAGGAACACCGGUGGCGAAGGCGGCAUCCUGGACCGGCAUUGACGCUGAGGCGCGAAAGCCAGGGGAGCAAACGGG